Molecule: transfer RNA, 88 nt
Filed under: Candidatus Omnitrophica bacterium 4484_213
Lineage: Bacteria; Pseudomonadati; Candidatus Omnitrophota
Description: tRNA-Ser
Rfam family: tRNA
About the family: Transfer RNA (tRNA) molecules are approximately 80 nucleotides in length.
Source: RNAcentral
GGAAGGAUGGCAGAGCGGACGAUUGCGGCGCUCUCGAAAAGCGUUGGGCCGAAAGGUCCCGCAGGUUCGAAUCCUGCUCCUUCCGCCG